CCAGUAUGAGCUGGAAAAAGAUGCGACCCCCCCCCACCUCGGAUAAGUGGAGGAAAACAGAUGGAUGGCUAAGAAUUUUUUAUCAAAUAAUGCCAUCUUCGCUCCAGUUUAAACACAGCAAUAGCCAACCCAGAUUCCAGACAAAUGAAGAUCUGGAGGAUAAUCCCUUAAACCAAGGACGUGUUCCAAGUAUAAUAUUAUGUAUAAACCCGUAACAAGUUUUGAAGAAAGUUUACUCCAAGAUGAGUUUUGGUUUCCACAGUCCACUUAUUAAUAUUAAUAAGGAGCAUGGAGUCUUGCUUCACGAUUUCUAAUCUAAUAUUGCAGGAGAGGCUGGUAAGAAGAAUGGUGGCUCAUUGCUGCUGGCCUCUGGCUACAAUUAAGCAUUAAACAUUGAAUCAGGACUUGCAUACUCUAAUAAUCCCCAAUGGCCAAGAACGAAUGUAUUUACUAAAUGUCAUGUUAUUAUUUUAAAUGUAAAAUAAAGUUUAUUUUUAUCUCGUUUUCAUUCAGGACAAAUGAAUAAUAUGCUGAAUUGAAUAUAUAAUUGGUAAACAUUAAGUUUGGCUACAGACCAAAGCUUGAUAAUUUGCAGUAUUCAGCUCUAUCUAAACAUAAUAUUCAUAUUCGUUAAAAAGAUACAUGGGUGGUUUGAAUAAAGAUUUGGCAAGCACCUUUCUCCACAUUUCAUUGUCCUUAAAACAAAACAUUACACUCAUCAAGUGCAGAAGGUUGCUGAUCCGCAGGCUUCAUAUCGUCCAAUGACAUCAGAAACCUGAACCUGAAUAAGUACGUUUUCUAAACCCCAGAAAGGAAAAACACACCAACAAAGCCUUUUGGAAGACAUGGGACAUCGUAAACUCCAUGGACUAUAAAAACCAUGAAACAUAAAGAACUACCCCCGACAAAAAGACAAAAAAGCACAUUGGGUACUUUAUUUUCUAAAAUCCUCCCCUGGUCUUCCAGAUGAACUCUGAAUUCUUGCAGCCACUAUCUGGUCCUUCCAUCACCACAGGGGACGCAGGACUGGAGAAGAGUGUCAGACCCUGCGGGAAUAAAAUUAGGCUUUGGUGCAAGUACACACAAACAUAAAUCCAUAGCUCCAUAGAUGCUGGGUUACUUGUUGUUCCUAUGGUUUUAAAAAGUAGGCUGGGGGCCAGAGCCUUCAGUUAUCAAGCUCCUCUUUUGUGGAACCAGGUUCCACUUUCAGUCCGGGGGGCAGAUUCGGUCCGCUCUUUUAAAGUAAAACUUAAAACUUUCCUCUUUGAUUGUGCCUAUAUUAAGCUGCUAUAGGCUUAGACUGCCGGGGGAAUUCUUAGGACACACCGAGCUCCCCUCUCACGCUCUCGUUCUACCAUAAUUCACCUUUUAUUAAUGCACAUGACUAAUUCAGCUUCUUUCCGGGAGUUUUUUGUGCUUUCUCCCCUAUCAGGUCUCCGUAGAUCGUAGUUCCUUCUGGACCCUGGUCCUGACACCUGCCGUGGCCCUGCUGAUGCCUGCUGCUGCCAUCAUCAUCAUCAUUAUUAUUUUGGAUAUUAAUCAUAUUACUGUACUCAUAAACCAUCAUUCCCCUCUCCUAAAGUCUCUGUGCUCUCCCUCCCCACAGGCUUCUGUGGAUGGUGGUUCUAUCUCACCAUCAGUGGUCCUGCUGUGCGCCUGGCUUACUACUCACAAUUACUUGAAUCAUUUCUGUCAUAGGAAUUGCAUGUAUUAUACAUUGCUCAUUCUGUACACAUGGCAUCCAUCGUAGUCUGUCCAUCCUGGGAGUGGGAUCCCUCCUCUGACGUUCUCCCUAAGGUUUCUUCCCUUUUUUCCCUCUUUGAAGGGUUUUUUCAUUUUUUGGGGAGUUUUUCCUGUGCCGAUGGUGGGUUUCGGGACAGAGGAUGUUGUAUGUGUACAGACUGUAAAGCCCUCUGAG
Gasterosteus aculeatus aculeatus (three-spined stickleback) is the source of this 1918-nucleotide long non-coding RNA. The record is from Ensembl. NCBI's taxonomy places the organism in Eukaryota, Metazoa, Chordata, Actinopteri, Perciformes, Gasterosteidae.